CCCCACAACUCCGAACCCUCCCCCUUCUUCCCGGCAACAUAACUCCAUCGGUCGGUAAUUGAAAACAGAGGAGCUCAGGCAGCGGAAAGCCUGGGGAAGGGGUGGGGACCAAAAGCAGACUGACUGACUGACUGGCUGGCUGGCUAACUAACUAACUAACUGUCGAACAAAAGAUGUCCGGGGUCGUGGCGGAACUGGAGUGAGUGAGUGUCUGACCGGCUGACUUAGGUGUCAGGAAUCCGGUCCAGAGCGUAGGGAAAACGGGUGGGCAGUGAAGCGCUCGAGCACCACCCUCCCCAUCCUUCAAACUCUUCAUCGCGGAGUUCGGAGGGGGCGCUGGGCAGCUGGAGCCGACAUCAAUGGUGGAAGCGAUUGUUGAGUUUUCUUAUGAAGCUCAGCAUGAUGAUGAGCUGACCAUUUCUGUAGGAGAUAUUGUAACUAAUAUCAAGAAAGAAGAUGGAGGCUGGUGGGAGGGUGAACUCGAUGGCAGAAGAGGUUUGUUCCCUGACAACUUUGUAAGAG
Molecule: long non-coding RNA, 522 nt
Organism: Rhincodon typus (whale shark)
Lineage: Eukaryota; Metazoa; Chordata; Chondrichthyes; Orectolobiformes; Rhincodontidae
Exons: 2
Source: RefSeq, a predicted model, not a curated record